Molecule: non-coding RNA, 240 nt
Organism: Cinara cedri
Lineage: Eukaryota; Metazoa; Arthropoda; Insecta; Hemiptera; Aphididae
Source: the annotation of a GenBank genome assembly
AGGUACUGUUUUAUGAGGGGGAAAGGGAAAAUUAUAAUAAUAUUAUUUGAAUAGAAUGUUAAGUUUUAUCCGAGGGUUAAACUUUUGAAAAUCUGCUCGAAAUGCGUCUAUCUCCCCCAAUCUUCCUAAAUAAAAAUCCAUUUCAAUCCGGGUCCAUCCGGUUGAAAUAUUUCGUGGUUCCGUGAUUCGACUCGUUCGAGUGAAACACAUUAUGUACGAGUAAGUAAAUAGUAGUAACCC